GGUCAAGAAGAAAAGGGCACAUGGUGGAUGCCUUGGCGCUAAGAGCCGAAGAAGGGCGUGGAAAGCUGCGAAAAGCCACGAGGAGCCGCAAGCAGGCGUUAAUCCGUGGAUACCCGAAUGGGGCAACCCG
RNAcentral lists this ribosomal RNA (130 nucleotides) under Desulforamulus aquiferis. Its description in RNAcentral is "partial 23S ribosomal RNA". It matches the Rfam family "Bacterial large subunit ribosomal RNA", at positions 1 to 130 of the family's 2925-position model. Lineage: Bacteria; Bacillati; Bacillota; Clostridia; Eubacteriales; Peptococcaceae. The record is from RNAcentral.